Molecule: ribosomal RNA, 253 nt
Filed under: uncultured prokaryote
Description: partial 16S ribosomal RNA
Rfam family: Bacterial small subunit ribosomal RNA
Source: RNAcentral
UACGUAGGGACCGAGCGUUGUCCGGAAUCAUUGGGCGUAAAGAGCGUGUAGGCGGCCCCUUAAGUCCUGCGUGAAAUCCUGCGGCUCAACCGCAGACGGUCGUGGGAAACUGGAGGGCUAGAGUGCGGGAGAGGAGAGUGGAAUUCCCGGUGUAGCGGUGAAAUGCGCAGAUAUCGGGAAGAACACCGGUGGCGAAGGCGGGUCUCUGUGCCGAUACUGACGCUGAGGAGCGAAAGCGUGGGGAGCGAACAGG